CUACGGGUCGCAGCAGUGGGGAAUAUUGCACAAUGGAGGAAAUUCUGAUGCAGCAACGCCGCGUGGAGGAUGACACUUUUCGGAGCGUAAACUCCUUUUAUAUAGGAAGAAGAUGACGGUACUAUAUGAAUAAGCGCCGGCUAACUCCGUGCCAGCAGCCGCGGUAAUACGGAGGGCGCAAGCGUUACUCGGAAUCACUGGGCGUAAAGAGCGUGUAGGCGGAUUAAAAAGUCAGAAGUGAAAUCCUAUAGCUUAACUAUAGAACUGCUUCUGAAACUCUUAAUCUAGAAUAUGGGAGAGGUAGAUGGAAUUUCUGGUGUAGGGGUAAUAUCCGUAGAGAUCACAAGGAAUACCGAUUGCGAAGGCGAUCUACUAGAACAUUAUUGACGCUGAGACGCGAAAGCGUGGGGAGCAAACAGGAUUAGAUACCCCCGUAGUC
RNAcentral lists this ribosomal RNA (439 nucleotides) under uncultured bacterium. RNAcentral describes it as "partial 16S ribosomal RNA". It matches the Rfam family "Bacterial small subunit ribosomal RNA", at positions 339 to 795 of the family's 1533-position model. The record is from RNAcentral.